GAUGAAGAACGUAGCGAAAUGCGAUACUUGGUGUGAAUUGCAGAAUCCCGUGAACCAUCGAGUCUUUGAACGCAAGUUGCGCCCGAAGCCGUCAGGCCGAGGGCACGCCUGCCUGGGCGUCACACGCCGUUGCCCCCCCCGCGCCCCGCACCCAACUCUUUGGGAGCGACCGCGGGGCGGGCUGAUGAUGGCCUCCCGUGCGCUCCGCCGCGCGGUUGGCCCAAAUACCGAGUCCCCGGCGACGUGCGCCACGACGAUCGGUGGUUGAGAGACCUCUGUCGCAAGUCGUGCGCGCCCGUCGCGUCACGCGGGCUCGCAUAGCGCCUCGCGCCGCACCCGAUGCGGAGCUUUCAACGCGACCCCAGGUCAGGCGGGGUUACCCGCUGAAUUUAAGCAUAUCAAUAAGCGGAGGA
RNAcentral lists this unclassified non-coding RNA (413 nucleotides) under soil metagenome. RNAcentral's name for it is "partial contains 5.8S ribosomal RNA, internal transcribed spacer 2, and large subunit ribosomal RNA". The stretch from base 1 to 122 matches the Rfam family "5.8S ribosomal RNA", at positions 35 to 154 of the family's 154-position model. The record is from RNAcentral.